This 407-nucleotide ribosomal RNA is filed under the name uncultured bacterium. Its description in RNAcentral is "partial 16S ribosomal RNA". It matches the Rfam family "Bacterial small subunit ribosomal RNA", at positions 28 to 525 of the family's 1533-position model. The record is from RNAcentral.
GACGAACGCUGGCGGCGUGCUUAACACAUGCAAGUCGAACGAAGUGGCGAACGGGUGAGUAAUACGUGGGUAACCUGCCCUACAUUUUGGGAUAAGCCUUGGAAACGGGGUCUAAUACCGAAUCAAGGGGGGUGGGCUCGCGGCCUAUCAGCUUGUUGGUGGGGGGAUGGCCUACCAAGGAGGUGACGGGUAGCCGGCCUGGGAGGGUGACCGGCCACAGUGUGGCUGAGAUCCGGCACAGACCCGUACGGGCGGAAGCAGUGGGGGAUAUGGUACAAUUGGCGAGAGCCUGAUGCAGCGACGCCGCGUGGGGGAUGAAGGCUUUCGGGUUGUAAACCUUUAUCAAUAUCGAACGGGUAGGGGGAGAAGGACCGCGGGCUAAGUAGGUGCCACCGGCCGGGGUAAUU